CCCAAGUGCUGGGAUUACAGGUGUGCGCCACCACGCCUGGCAAGUCUUUCUUUCUUUCAAUUGCUCUCUCAGAUACUCUGCUUACAGGUUCAUGAAAAUAACCAACUUAAUGGAUACUUAUGGAGGAAGUCAAAAGUUCAGAAUCUGAUGAGAUAAUGAUUGACUUCACUAGUGAGGUAACGACUGUGCCCAUGAGGUAAUGACUGUGCCCAUGAGGUAAUGACUGUGCCCAUGAGGUAAUGACUGUGCCCAUGAGGUAAUGACUGUGUUCAUGACAUAAUGGCUGUCUGUUCUUAUGAGGUAAUGACUGUGCCCAUGAGGUAAUGACUGUGCCCAUGAGGUAAUGACUGUGCCCAUGAGGUAAUGACUGUGUUCAUGACAUAAUGGCUGUCUGUUCUUAUGAGGUAAUGACUGUGCCCAUGAGGUAAUGACUGUGCCCAUGAGGUAAUGACUAUGUUCAUGACAUAAUGUCUGUGCUUAUGAGGUAAAGACUGUGCCCAUGGGGUAAUGAUUGUGUUCAUGAGGUAACGACUGUGCCCAUGAGGUAAUGACUGUGCCCAUGAGGUAAUGACUGUGCCCAUGAGGUAAUGACUGUGCCCAUGAGGUAAUGACUGUGCCCAUGAGGUAAUGACUGUGCCCAUGAGGUAAUGACUAUGUUCAUGACAUAAUGUCUGUGCUUAUGAGGUAAAGACUGUGCCCAUGGGGUAAUGAUUGUGUUCAUGAGGUAACGACUGUGCCCAUGAGGUAAUGACUGUGCCCAUGAGGUAAUGACUGUGUUCAUGACAUAAUGUCUGUGCUUAUGAGGUAAUGACUGUGCCCAUGAGGUAAUGACUGUGUUCAUGACAUAAUGUCUGUGCUUAUGAGGUAAUGACUGUGCCCAUGAGGUAAUGACUGUGCCCAUGAGGUAAUGACUAUGUUCAUGACAUAAUGUCUGUGCUUAUGAGGUAAAGACUGUGCCCAUGGGGUAAUGAUUGUGUUCAUGAGGUAACGACUGUGCCCAUGAGGUAAUGACUGUGCCCAUGAGGUAAUGACUGUGUUCAUGACAUAAUGUCUGUGCUUAUGAGGUAAUGACUGUGCCCAUGAGGUAAUGACUGUGUUCAUGACAUAAUGUCUGUGCUUAUGAGGUAAUGACUGUGCCCAUGAGGUAAUGACUGUGUUCAUGACAUAAUGUCUGUGCUCAUGAGGUAAUGACUGUGCCCAUAAGGUAAUGACUGUGUUCAUGACAUAAUGUCUGUGCUUAUGAGGUAAUGACUGUGCCCAUGAGGUAAUGACUGUGUCCAUGGGGUAAUGAUUGUGUUCAUGAGGUAACGACUGUGCUUAUGAGGUAAUGACUGUGCCCAUGGGGUAAUGACUAUAUCCAUGAGGUAACAUCUGUGCUCAUGAGUCUUAGAUGGGAAAAAGUACUGUGCUGAUGACGUGGCACAGCAGCCUGCUUCUGCGCUUUCUCACAGAACUUACCCUCCCCCCUGCUCCUUCCCGUAGCAAACAUGGAGCUCCCCUCCCCUCCUUGGCCAUUCAGAGAGGACUUGAUCUGGUACCAGAGUAUUGCUAGCUAUGUUUUCAUAGAGGCACCCCCUAAUGAGCCUGCCCCCCAUCCCUAGGGAGCAACAGAUGCUAUCUUGAGAAUACACAAACUGCUACUUGGGGGGGAGGGGCAUGUCGCCUAGGCCGGCACUCUCACUGAUAAAUGGCUAAGCAUUUCCCAGUGCAGCUGGCACCUGUUCAUGGGAAAAA
Long non-coding RNA from Apodemus sylvaticus (European woodmouse), 1734 nucleotides. RefSeq lists it as uncharacterized. The record is from RefSeq and is a predicted model, not a curated record. The transcript is spliced from 3 exons. NCBI's taxonomy places the organism in Eukaryota, Metazoa, Chordata, Mammalia, Rodentia, Muridae.